This 472-nucleotide ribosomal RNA is filed under the name uncultured organism. Its description in RNAcentral is "partial 16S ribosomal RNA". It matches the Rfam family "Bacterial small subunit ribosomal RNA", at positions 335 to 798 of the family's 1533-position model. The record is from RNAcentral.
ACUCCUGCGGGAGGCAGCAGUGGGGAAUUUUGGACAAUGGGCGAAAGCCUGAUCCAGCAAUGCCGCGUGAGUGAAGAAGGCCUUCGGGUUGUAAAGCUCUUUUGUCAGGGAAGAAACGGUGAAAGCUAAUAUCUUUUGCUAAUGACGGUACCUGAAGAAUAAGCACCGGCUAACUACGUGCCAGCAGCCGCGGUAAUACGUAGGGUGCAAGCGUUAAUCGGAAUUACUGGGCGUAAAGCGUGCGCAGGCGGUUUUGUAAGUCUGAUGUGAAAUCCCCGGGCUCAACCUGGGAAUUGCAUUGGAGACGGCAAGGCUAGAAUCUGGCAGAGGGGGGUAGAAUUCCACGUGUAGCAGUGAAAUGCGUAGAUAUGUGGAGGAACACCGAUGGCGAAGGCAGCCCCCUGGGUCAAGAUUGACGCUCAUGCACGAAAGCGUGGGGAGCAAACAGGAUUAGAUACCCCAGUAGUCCCAU